GUAGGGAAUAUUGGGCAAUGGAUGCAAGUCUGACCCAGCCAUCCCGCGUGCCGGAAGAAGGCCCUCAGGGUUGUAAACGGCUUUUGACGGUGAAGAAUCGACAGGAUGCGUCCUUUUUUGACGGUAGCCGUUGAAUAAGCACCGGCUAACUCCGUGCCAGCAGCCGCGGUAAUACGGAGGGUGCGAGCGUUGUCCGGAUUUAUUGGGUUUAAAGGGUGCGUAGGCUGGAAGGUCAGUCAGCGGUGAAAAGCUGUCGCUUAACGAUAGUCUUGCCGCAGAUACUUCCUUUCUUGGAUGAGGAGGAGGCCACUGGAACGGAUGGUGUAGCGGUGAAAUGCAUAGAUAUCAUCCAGAACACCGAUUGCGAAGGCAGGUGGCUGUACCUUAAUCGACGCUGAUGCACGAAAGCAUGGGGAGCAAACAGGAUUAGAAACCCUUGUAGUCC
Molecule: ribosomal RNA, 445 nt
Filed under: uncultured bacterium
Lineage: Bacteria
Description: partial 16S ribosomal RNA
Rfam family: Bacterial small subunit ribosomal RNA
Source: RNAcentral